UACAGAGGGUGCUAGCGUUAAUCGGAUUUACUGGGCGUAAAGCGCGCGUAGGCGGCUUUGUAAGUUAGAGGUGAAAGCCCAGGGCUCAACCCUGGAAUUGCCUUUAAGACUGCAUCGCUUGAACAUCGGAGAGGUAAGUGGAAUUCCGAGUGUAGAGGUGAAAUUCGUAGAUAUUCGGAAGAACACCAGUGGCGAAGGCGACUUACUGGACGAUUGUUGACGCUGAGGUGCGAAAGCGUGGGGAGCAAACAGG
This 253-nucleotide ribosomal RNA is filed under the name uncultured bacterium. RNAcentral's name for it is "partial 16S ribosomal RNA". It matches the Rfam family "Bacterial small subunit ribosomal RNA", at positions 524 to 776 of the family's 1533-position model. The record is from RNAcentral.